Molecule: RNase P RNA, 347 nt
Filed under: Clostridium sp. 19966
Lineage: Bacteria; Bacillati; Bacillota; Clostridia; Eubacteriales; Clostridiaceae
Description: RNase P RNA component class A
Rfam family: Bacterial RNase P class A
About the family: Ribonuclease P (RNase P) is a ubiquitous endoribonuclease, found in archaea, bacteria and eukarya as well as chloroplasts and mitochondria. Its best characterised activity is the generation of mature 5'-ends of tRNAs by cleaving the 5'-leader elements of precursor-tRNAs.
Source: RNAcentral
CGAGUAAGCCAGACAGUCGCUGCCCGGUUAUGCCGGGGAGAGGAAAGUCCGAGCUUCAUAGGGCAGGGUGCUGGGUAACUCCCAGUGGAGGCGACUCUAAGGAAAGUGCAACAGAGAUAUACCGCCAGAGCUUGGCUCUGGUAAGGGUGGAAAGGCGAGGUAAGAGCUCACCAGCGCAUUGGCGACUUUGCGGCUAUGUAAACCCCACUUGAAGCAAGACCGAAUAGGGAGACUAAUGGGGCUGCCCGUCCCGUCUCCGGGUGCGUCGCUUGAGUCUGACUGGUAACAGCAGGCCUAGAUAGAUGACUGUCAAACACAGAACUCGGCUUACAGACUUAUCUCGCUAU